GAUGAACGCUGGCGGCGUGCCUAAUACAUGCAAGUCGAGCGAACGGACGAGAAGCUUGCUUCUCUGAUGUUAGCGGCGGACGGGUGAGUAACACGUGGAUAACCUACCUAUAAGACUGGGAUAACUUCGGGAAACCGGAGCUAAUACCGGAUAAUAUUUUGAACCGCAUGGUUCAAAAGUGAAAGACGGUCUUGCUGUCACUUAUAGAUGGAUCCGCGCUGCAUUAGCUAGUUGGUAAGGUAACGGCUUACCAAGGCAACGAUGCAUAGCCGACCUGAGAGGGGGAUCGGCCACACUGGAACUGAGACACGGUCCAGACGCCUACGGGAGGCAGCAGUAGGGAAUCUUCCGCAAUGGGCGAAAGCCUGACGGAGCAACGCCGCGUGAGUGAUGAAGGUCUUCGGAUCGUAAAACUCUGUUAUUAGGGAAGAACAGAUGUGUAAGUAACUGUGCACAUCUUGACGGUACCUAAUCAGAAAGCCACGGCUAACUACGU
This 496-nucleotide ribosomal RNA is filed under the name uncultured bacterium. RNAcentral describes it as "partial 16S ribosomal RNA". It matches the Rfam family "Bacterial small subunit ribosomal RNA", at positions 28 to 506 of the family's 1533-position model. The record is from RNAcentral.